UUGGGCUGGAAGGCACCUUUAAAGGUUAUCUAGUCCAACCUCCCUGCAAUAAGCAGGGCAUCUUCAACUAGACCAGGUUGUUCAGAGCCCUUGAAUAUUUCCAGACAUGGGCCAUCCACAACUUCUCUGACCAACAUGUUUCAGUGUUUUACCACUCCCACUGUAAAAAAAAAUUUCUUUAUAUCUAAUCUAAACCAAAUCUCCUUUAGUUUUAAACCAUUGUUCUCGUUCUAUUGCAACAUAUCCUACUAAAAGGUUUGUUGUCAUCUUUUUUACAGGUCCCCUUUAGGUACCAGAAAGUUGCUGUGAGGUCUCCCUGGAGCCUUCUCUUCUCCACGCUGAACAGUCCCAAAUCUCUCACCCUGUCUUCACAGGAGAAGUGCUCCAGCCCUCUGAUUGCCUUUGUGGCCUCCUCCGGACUCAUUCCAACAGGUCCAUGGACUCAGGAGUCCAGAGCCAUUGCAGAGCUUCCAUCAAUGCUGCACUUGAGGUCGUGACAACAUUAUGGGACAGAGAACACACCAAGGAAAUGCAAACCAAUUUGCUUCUAGUGGGCUCUAGAAAAGCCUCUCAUUACAGCUGGGCUGACUGCAGUGAUGUGAUGCCAAGUCCUCUGCCCUGCCAGUUUUUUGUGUACCUGAAUACUGUGAAAAACUAUCCUCAGAGAAAAAUAAAGCGAGUCUGACCCGCUCCAGAAGGAAGGCUUUGAUACCACAGACUUUUCCAGGGGUGAUUCGAAUUACUGUUUACAUUCAUGAUCAGCUCCAGGAAGAAAGUUUGUUCCCUCUUUUGCAAGCACUUCUGUAUUUACAUGCACAAGAAUAUUUGAGCCCAAAAGCUUUGACUUGGCAUCAUUGAUGCAAUGCACUAUAAAUUUCAGAUAUACUCCCAUUUAGACUCCUCUGAAAUGCCCAAGGAUUUUUCUCCAUUUGACAUCAAGAUAACUGGCCUGGCCUCUGCAACUUUCUCAAGUACUCCUGGAAGAGAGGAAUGGCCAAAACAAUCUCCCACUGGAUGGCCUGGGGGGAAAAUUUGUGGAUACUAGGAUAGUAGAAGGUGAAGCAGGUAAAACCUCUGAGGAACAGAUUCCAAGCUCUGCUCAUUUGACAGCUGUUUUCACUGGAAUAUCCUCUAACACUGAGUCAGAAGAAAUGUUCCUGAAAAGUCCAUAAUUCCAAAUAGUUUUACGCACCAUCCUUCAUUCAUUCUGAUGAUGGAAGGAAAAAGUCAAGGGCUGUGUUAAUUAGUUUCUUUUCUGAAAUGGACUAUAAAUAUAGUUAGAAGAUGUAGAGCAGAAGAGCAAACUGUGGCCUUCUGUGGUGGUACAUUAAUUUUGCUGGUUUAAGAUUUCCAGUAGAAACAGAAAAAAAUCUGGUUAUCCACAUUCACUCUGUUUUCCAGGAUCAAUGGCUUAUUUUACUGAAGUUUUACAUAGAGUGUUGCACAAUGGAGGUAUUUAUGAUGCAAUAAACUACAAGAUGGCAGACA
RNAcentral lists this long non-coding RNA (1488 nucleotides) under Junco hyemalis (dark-eyed junco). Its description in RNAcentral is "lncRNA (ENSJHYG00000015953.1)". Lineage: Eukaryota; Metazoa; Chordata; Aves; Passeriformes; Passerellidae. The record is from RNAcentral.